CCUAAAGUUAUAUUAUUAUCUAGGUGACUAUUUUGGCACUACACAAUUCUAACAAAGAUAUAAUAUAACAAACAACAUAAACUUGUGAUUAUUGUAACACAUUUGUACAUAUGUCAUUGAAGAAAAGUACAUAUUAGUUACCUCCCUUUACAAAAUAGAAAUAUAAGUAAGGGAGAUAAUACAGGAUGGUUGUGAAAUUGUCUCCCUUUUAAAAGAAUUAUUUCUAGAUAAAAUAUAAAAAGGAUGACAUAUUUCUAAAAAUGCAGCAGUAAUUAUGUAUUAAAGAAAUAUUUCAAUAUUUCACAAUACAGC
Molecule: long non-coding RNA, 312 nt
Filed under: Mytilus galloprovincialis (Mediterranean mussel)
Lineage: Eukaryota; Metazoa; Mollusca; Bivalvia; Mytilida; Mytilidae
Source: RNAcentral